AGCACUCUAGUGAGACUGCCCGGGUUAACCGGGAGGAAGGUGGGGAUGACCUCAAAUCAUCAUGCCCCUUAUGUCUAGGGCUACACACGUGCUACAAUGGUGGGAACAAAGAGAUGCAAUACGCGAGGUGGANCUAAACUCAAAACCCCAUCCCAGUUCGGAUUGUAGGCUGAAACUCGCCUNCAUGAAGCUGGAGUUGCUAGUAAUCNCGAAUCAGAAUGUCGCGGUGAAUNAUUCCCNGGCCUUGUAGUCCCCGCCCCUCNNACCAUGAGAGUCGGCAACACCCGAAGCCCGUGAGGCAACCUUUUGGAGCCAGCGGUCGAAGGUGGGGUUGAUGAUUGGGG
Molecule: ribosomal RNA, 344 nt
Filed under: uncultured bacterium
Lineage: Bacteria
Description: partial 16S ribosomal RNA
Rfam family: Bacterial small subunit ribosomal RNA
Source: RNAcentral